RNAcentral lists this ribosomal RNA (468 nucleotides) under uncultured bacterium. Its description in RNAcentral is "bacterial SSU rRNA". It matches the Rfam family "Bacterial small subunit ribosomal RNA", at positions 335 to 795 of the family's 1533-position model. The record is from RNAcentral.
ACUCCUACGGGAGGCAGCAGCUAAGAAUAUUCCGCAAUGGACGAAAGUCUGACGGAGCGACGCCGCGUGGAUGAAGAAGGCCGAAAGGUUGUAAAGUUCUUUUGCUAGGGGAGAAUAAGUGAGGGAGGGAAUGCCCUCAUGAUGACAAGGACUAGCGAAUAAGCCCCGGCCAACUACGUGCCAGCAGCCGCGGUAACACGUAGGGGGCGAGCGUUGUUCGGAAUUACUGGGCGUAAAGGGCAUGUAGGCGGCUUGGUAAGCCUGGCGUGAAAGACUGCAGCUUAACUGUAGGGAUGCGUUGGGAACUGCUUAGCUUGAGUUACGGAGAGGGAGCUGGAAUUCCUGGUGUAGGGGUGAAAUCUGUAGAUAUCAGGAAGAACACCGAUGGCGAAGGCAAGCUUCUGGUCGAUAACUGACGCUGAGGUGCGAAAGUGUGGGGAUCAAACAGGAUUAGAUACCCUGGUAGUC